RNAcentral lists this long non-coding RNA (616 nucleotides) under Prunus persica (peach). RNAcentral describes it as "long non-coding RNA (PPER_LNC003622)". The record is from RNAcentral. Lineage: Eukaryota; Viridiplantae; Streptophyta; Magnoliopsida; Rosales; Rosaceae.
GCAAAAAGACUUGUAAAUCUCGAUAUAGUGCUCUCAUCCCUCUUCGUCUCUCACAUCAUCCUCUUCAUCCACCAUUGAAGAUUUUCUAGAGAAGCUUGCUCUCUCAGAGUAACCAUCCACUCUCUAACGGCUGAUCCUUCUUUAUUUUGUCACUCAGCCUCUCAAAUAUUUUACUCCUGACUUGCGGUUGGCUUGUUAGUUUGUUGCCGGUGAUAUUUGUAGGUAAGCUUCAUAUUUCUUGAAAACUUUCUGUUUUACGUAUUGUUAAAAUUUCGAGACCGUAAUUAAAGAUUCGCAAUUUUCAAUUAAAUUAUUUGUGUUUUAAAUUUAUGCUUUUUUUUACAUUCUAGCUGCCGAUAUAGAAGGAUAUUUUUUUGUGAGCCAGCUUUUUAGAUUUCUUAAAUUUUGUAUGAAAAAUUCCUAAAAUUGGUGGAGUUGCUUUAUCUGUGGUUUUCUUUUCUUUUUAAUAAAAUUUAGCUAGAGCGCUCGUUUUAGAUGUUGCUUUAUAAAAUUUGUGAUUUGGAAUCUUGGUCAGUCAAAGAUGAGUUAGGAUCCUAUCUUAUACAAGAUCAAACUUCUUAGUGAAUAGUGAGCAAUUUUGAAAUCUAUUUCUUUU